RNA transcript from Scylla paramamosain (green mud crab), 2622 nucleotides. RefSeq lists it as uncharacterized. The record is from RefSeq and is a predicted model, not a curated record. Lineage: Eukaryota; Metazoa; Arthropoda; Malacostraca; Decapoda; Portunidae. The transcript has 8 exons.
CCAGCACCUGAGAGCUUGUCAUCACUCAGUACUAAGUCUGUUUUGUCUGCCGCAGGGCUCGUCUUGACGUGUACAAGUAUAAAUAGAGGAUGACUGGCAAAUGACAAACCAUAACUGUCCACGGGGGCGAGUUGUGUGUGGAAAUGAGGUCGCAGAUAACGUGGUGCUUUAUACUUCAAAGAAGACCCUGAUAUGCGAUCACGUGCAAAUGAACCAAGUGACUGCCUUCAUCGACGCCUCUCACACCUAUGGCUCGGACAAGUGUGAGCAGCAGCAACUGAGUACCAAGUCGGACGGCAUGCUACGAGGCACACCCAACCCCCUGCGAGGCAAAGACCUGCUGCCCACUGAGAAUGAGAACCACGAGUGUCAAGGCUCCCUCUGGCCGGUGCUUCACUGUAGAAUUUGUCACUUGUUACCUCCUUACUGGGCCAAGAGAGUGAAAUACGCCGUGUGUACAGGGUAGCUGGCCAGGUGACUCUUGAUGACUGUGUUGGUGACAGAACCCUGGCAGGAAGAGGUGACGUUGCCUUGGAUAUUCAGAGUGAGGGAGACUGGCAGAAGACACAGAGGAACGACUGUACGAGCUCCGCAAGACAAGCCUGGCCCGGGUGAUCUGCGACGACAGUGAACGCAAGCUACGGUACGUCCAGCCCAAAGUAAUGCUGGAGGCCGACUCUUUCCUCAGAUGAAAAAGGAGCCGCUGAGGUGCUGGUCCUUAACCACAAAUAAAAAUAACAAGGAGAAGCAUCGGCCAAGAAGAGAUUACGCGUGGAAAGAGGAAGGAUUGGGGCUCGGCUCACGGCAACAGCACCCGUGUGUGCGUUCUUGGGCCGUUCCGGAUCUGUGGACUUCCGGCGAGCAAAUCCCUUCUUUUAAAGCUUGGUGUUGACUGACCUCUGACAACCUGACUGGUGACUGUGGAUGAGGGGACAAGAGAGCCAGUGUUCCAAGUACCACCACCAUCACCACUGCCACCACCACCACCACCACCAUCAGGAGCACAGAUUCACUGAAGUCUCUACCAAGAUUUCUUUGAGUUUUUUGAUAAAUUUAACUUCCAGGAGAGACAGAGAGAUGCUGAUUGUUAAAGGCAGUGUGUGAAGCCUGCCCACUGUCUUUGUAUAUACAGGUUAGGGUGUGUGUGUGUGUGUGUGUGUGUGUGUGUGUGUGUGUGUGAGUGUUUGUUUGUUUUGUAUCCUCCACACUGCUUGUCUUAAUCUAGCUUGCCACACUCCAUGAAGUCAUCCACAGCCUUAUUCUUCCUUUCAUUUGUCUCUCCACAGUCCUAUGAACAGCACCACCAUUCACUUCCUGCCCUCUCCACUCUCCCUAACUCCAAAUCACUUGCACCACAUCUCCACCUCAUAUUUCUGACACUGCAGUAUCAUGUGCAUCCUCCCCAUGGCUCACGUUGCUGCAAGACUCACACCUGUAACUCUUUGCAUUCACAUCCAUACACUGUCCUUGCUUAGAAGAGGUCACCAGCCAGGCUUCCCUCAUACCACCUUUCAUACAUUGGGGGUUCUUGUGUUCUAUUCUGUUCUUCUGUUCAUUCAGUUUAUCCCUCUUCUCUAAUCUAUCUCACUUUUCCACCUUGUAUCUCAAUGUAAUCUGUCCCUUGUUCUGUCAUGGUGAACCUGUCUUCCCUCUAAAGGUCACAGUUUGAAGUGUUCCUGCUGGUCUUCUAGGCUUGUGUUGGGCUUCUCUGUGCAUUUACAGAAACACAAUUUAAGUUUAGGUUAUCAGAGUGGUGAUAGGAAGAGCUGGUUCUUCCUCAUUAGUAAUAGAAUGCUGGUGCGGAUGACACACAGCUCAGCGUUCCUCUUGAUUCCUCCCACUCCACACCACCAGGCACUAAACACUAUCUACUGUGUUUACUGAUGCAAUUGUUCUGUGGUUUUCCCUGUUCAUUCUUGCUCCUGUGUCCUUCUUUAUGCAACAGAGUCACCCAGCAUUCAUUCUACCUUCUCUGCAGUCUCUUCUCUCCACACCUGGUGAAGUAACUCAGUAUUAUCACCCACUUCCCUUUAUUCCUAAACAUACAGCACAGGGUAUCUCAUCUGGCCCUGCUACCUUCCCAAACUUCUGCCUUUUUUUGCACUUUCUUCAUGUCCUCCCUGCUGGUUCUCUCAACUUGCACACACCUUGCCUGUCCAGUGUCACACAUCAGUACAUAGGCUUCUCCACAGUGGCUCCUUGUCCCUCACCACCAUUCUCUCUGUCAGUCAAGAGGUUCUCCAUCCAUCUCAGCAGGCCACACCUUCCAGCUUCCACACAUGGCACCCUAUCAAAGGCACCCCUAUUUAUUGCCUGUCCAGUGUCACACAUCAGUACAGUGUGUGUGUGUGUGUGUGUGUGUGUUUGAGCAUUCUUGUAUUUUGAUUUAUUUAUUUUUUUUGAAAGGCCACAUUAAUCAGGUCCUCAAAGGUGUUUUUUUCCUGUUUCUAUUUGUUAAACUAUCACUGGAAUCAUGAAAACUCAGUAACUGUAACCUGUUAAACUGCUUCACCAAUUACCAUUCAAUUAGUCCUAACAUUUUCAAACUGGUCGCAUUGUUUGUUUAUUGGUUUUAAAGUUGUAAUUUGUAACAAUACAUUAAUAAAAUUCUCUGCCUCAAAA